GACGAACGCUGGCGGCGUGCUUAACACAUGCAAGUCGAACGGAAAGGCCCUGCUUUUGUGGGGUGCUCGAGUGGCGAACGGGUGAGUAACACGUGAGUAACCUGCCCUUGACUUUGGGAUAACUUCAGGAAACUGGGGCUAAUACCGGAUAGGAGCUCCUGCUGCAUGGUGGGGGUUGGAAAGUUUAGGGGGUUGGGGAUGGACUCGCGGCUUAUCAGCUUGUUGGGGGGGUAGGGGCUUACCAAGGCUUUGACGGGUAGCCGGCCUGAGAGGGUGACCGGCCAAAUGGGGACGGAGAGACGGCCCAGACUCCUACGGGAGGCAGCAGGGGGGAAUAUUGCACAAUGGGCGGAAGCCUGAUGCAGCAACGCCGCGUGCGGGAUGACGGCCUUCGGGUGGUAAACCGCUUUCGCCUGUGACGAAGCGUGAGUGACGGUAAUGGGUAAAGAAGCACCGGCUAACUACGUG
This 468-nucleotide ribosomal RNA is filed under the name uncultured bacterium. Its description in RNAcentral is "partial 16S ribosomal RNA". It matches the Rfam family "Bacterial small subunit ribosomal RNA", at positions 28 to 507 of the family's 1533-position model. The record is from RNAcentral.